Non-coding RNA from Pelobates cultripes (western spadefoot toad), 224 nucleotides. The record is from the annotation of a GenBank genome assembly. Lineage: Eukaryota; Metazoa; Chordata; Amphibia; Anura; Pelobatidae.
GCCCUUUUAAUGUGCUGUCCAUCAACAGAUAAACAUGACAUGUGUCCGUGAAAACAUGGUGCAUAUGGUAACCCUACCUUAAACCAGCCAAGGCCAGUGAUAGAUAAGUCAGGUUCUCCUGUAUAAACUACAUGCAUACCCAUUGUAUAUAAAUCGGUAUAAUUAACCCAUCAACUGCUUUGCUUGGUAUCAGGUAAUCAUAUUAGACAGAAAAGAAGUGUGGG